This 200-nucleotide ribosomal RNA is filed under the name uncultured bacterium. RNAcentral's name for it is "partial 16S ribosomal RNA". It matches the Rfam family "Bacterial small subunit ribosomal RNA", at positions 29 to 256 of the family's 1533-position model. The record is from RNAcentral.
AGCGAACGCUGGCGGCAGGCCUAACACAUGCAAGUCGAACGGAUCCUUCGGGAUUAGUGGCGGACGGGUGAGUAACACGUGGGAACGUGCCUUUUGGUUCGGAACAACUCAGGGAAACUUGAGCUAAUACCGGAUAAGCCCUUCGAGGGAAAGAUUUAUCGCCAUUAGAGCGGCCCGCGUAGGAUUAGCUAGUUGGUGGG